AUGCCUGUACCAUAACCGACACAGGUGGGUAAGUAGAGUAUACUAAGGGGCGCGAGAUAACUCUCUCUAAGGAACUCGGCAAAAUAACUCCGUAACUUCGGGAGAAGGAGUGCCUUAUUCUUAAGGUUGCAAUAACAAGAUCCAAGCAACUGUUUAUCAAAAACACAGGUCUCCGCUAAGUCGUAAGACGAUGUAUGGGGGCUGACGCCUGCCCAGUGCCAGAAGGUUAAAGAAGUCGGUUAGCAAUAGCAAAGCUGGUAACUGAAGCCCUGGUGAACGGCGGCCGUAACGAUAACGGUCCUAAGGUAGCGAAAUUCCUUGUCGGGUAAGUUCCGACCCGCACGAAAGGCGUAAUGAUUUGGAUGCUGUCUCGGAGAGGGGCUCGGUGAAAUAGACUUGUCUGUGAAGAUGCGGACUACCUGCACCAGGACAGAAAGACCCUAUGAAGCUUUACUGUAACUUGAAAUUGAAAUUAGACUUUAUUCGCGCAGUAUAGGUGGGAGGCGUUGAUUAUAAUCUUGUGGGAUUAUUGGAGCCAUCAGUGAGAUACCACUCUUGUAAUGUUAGAUUUCUAACUUUGAAUCAUUAUCUGGUCAAAGGACAGUUUCAGGCGGGCAGUUUGACUGGGGCGGUCGCCUCCUAAACGGUAACGGAGGCGUACAAAGGUUUCCUCUGAACGGUUAGAAAUCGUAUCUAGAGUGUAAAGGCAUAAGGAAGCUUGACUGUGAGACCUACAAGUCGAGCAGGGACGAAAGUCGGUCUUAGUGAUCUGACGGUACUGAGUGGAAAGGCCGUCACUCAACGGAUAAAAGUUACUCUAAGGAUAACAGGCUGAUCUCCCCCAAGAGUUCACAUCGACGGGGAGGUUUGGCACCUCGAUGUCGGCUCAUCGCAUCCUGGGGCGGUAGUACGUCCCAAGGGUUGGGCUGUUCGCCCAUGAAAGCGGUACGCGAGCUGGGUUCAGAACGUCGUGAGACAGUUCGGUCCAUAUCCGGUGUAGGCGCUAGAAUAUUGAGAGGAGCCUUCUUUAGUACGAGAGGACCGAGAAGGACAUACCUCUGGUGUACCAGUUAUCGUGCCAACGGUAAACGCUGGGUAGCUAUGUAUGGAGUGGAUAACCGCUGAAAGCAUCUAAGUGGGAAGCCCACCUCAAGAUAAGUAUUCUCAUCACGUAAGUGAGUAAGGUCACGGUAAGACUAACCGUUUGAUAGGCAUUAAGUGUAAGUACAGUAAUGUAUGUGCUGAGAUGUCCUAAUAGACCGAGGAC
This 1267-nucleotide ribosomal RNA is filed under the name metagenome. Its description in RNAcentral is "bacterial LSU rRNA". It matches the Rfam family "Bacterial large subunit ribosomal RNA", at positions 1638 to 2925 of the family's 2925-position model. The record is from RNAcentral.